RNAcentral lists this ribosomal RNA (492 nucleotides) under uncultured bacterium. RNAcentral describes it as "partial 16S ribosomal RNA". It matches the Rfam family "Bacterial small subunit ribosomal RNA", at positions 29 to 507 of the family's 1533-position model. The record is from RNAcentral.
AGUGAACGCUGGCGGUAGGCCUAACACAUGCAAGUCGAACGGCAGCACAGUAAGAGCUUGCUCUUACGGGUGGCGAGUGGCGGACGGGUGAGGAAUACAUCGGAAUCUACUUUUUCGUGGGGGAUAACGUAGGUAAACUUACGCUAAUACCGCAUACGACCUACGGGUGAAAGCAGGGGAUCUUCGGACCUUGCGCGAUUGAAUGAGCCGAUGUCGGAUUAGCUAGUUGGCGGGGUAAAGGCCCACCAAGGCGACGAUCCGUAGCUGGUCUGAGAGGAUGAUCAGCCACACUGGAACUGAGACACGGUCCAGACUCCUACGGGAGGCAGCAGUGGGGAAUAUUGGACAAUGGGCGCAAGCCUGAUCCAGCCAUACCGCGUGGGUGAAGAAGGCCUUCGGGUUGCAAAGCCCUUUUGUUGGGAAAGAAAAGCAGCAGGUUAAUACCCCGCUGUUCUGACGGUACCCAAAGAAUAAGCACCGGCUAACUUCGUG